AUGAACGCUGGCGGCGUGCUUAACCCAUGCAAGUCGAACGGUGAAGGCGGAGCUUGCUCUGCUGGAUCAGUGGCGAACGGGUGAGUAACACGUGAGCAAUCUGCCCCUGACUCUGGGAUAAGCGCUGGAAACGGCGUCUAAUACUGGAUACGAGCUGCGAAGGCAUCUUCAGCAGCUGGAAAGAAUUUCGGUCAGGGAUGAGCUCGCGGCCUAUCAGCUUGUUGGUGAGGUAAUGGCUCACCAAGGCGUCGACGGGUAGCCGGCCUGAGAGGGUGACCGGCCACACUGGGACUGAGACACGGCCCAGACUCCUACGGGAGGCAGCAGUGGGGAAUAUUGCACAAUGGGCGAAAGCCUGAUGCAGCAACGCCGCGUGAGGGACGACGGCCUUCGGGUUGUAAACCUCUUUUAGCAGGGAAGAAGCGAAAGUGACGGUACCUGCAGAAAAAGCGCCGGCUAACUACGUG
RNAcentral lists this ribosomal RNA (467 nucleotides) under uncultured bacterium. RNAcentral describes it as "partial 16S ribosomal RNA". It matches the Rfam family "Bacterial small subunit ribosomal RNA", at positions 29 to 507 of the family's 1533-position model. The record is from RNAcentral.